GGAGACGCCAUUAAAGACAGAAAUAAUGCAUCCACCCAAGACUAUGCUAAGGCCUUGAUUUUCUUGCGCCAUCACCUUGAUGAAGGUUUGAAACUGUCCUAAGGCCUUGAUUUUCUUGCGCCAUCACCUUGAAGAAGGUUUGAAACUGCGCUAAGGCCUUGAUUUUCUUGUGCCAUCACCUUGAUGAAGGUUUGAAACUGUGCUAAGACCUUGAUUUUCU
RNAcentral lists this long non-coding RNA (220 nucleotides) under Nicotiana benthamiana. RNAcentral describes it as "long non-coding RNA (NBEN_LNC018160)". The record is from RNAcentral. Lineage: Eukaryota; Viridiplantae; Streptophyta; Magnoliopsida; Solanales; Solanaceae.